This 253-nucleotide ribosomal RNA is filed under the name uncultured bacterium. RNAcentral describes it as "partial 16S ribosomal RNA". It matches the Rfam family "Bacterial small subunit ribosomal RNA", at positions 524 to 776 of the family's 1533-position model. The record is from RNAcentral.
UACGUAGGGGGCGAGCGUUGUCCGGAUUUAUUGGGCGUAAAGCGCACGCAGGCGGUCUUUUAAGUUUUGAGUGACAGGCGAGGGCUUAACCCUGGCAGGCCUUGGAAAACUGGAAGACUUGAGGGCGAGAGAGGGAUGCGGAAUUCCAGGUGGAGCGGUGAAAUGCGUAGAGAUCUGGAAGAACACCGAAGGCGAAGGCAGCAUCCUGGAGCGUUACUGACGCUGAUGUGCGAAAGCUAGGGGAGCGAACGGG